Molecule: ribosomal RNA, 119 nt
Filed under: Gadus morhua (Atlantic cod)
Lineage: Eukaryota; Metazoa; Chordata; Actinopteri; Gadiformes; Gadidae
Source: RNAcentral
GCUUACGGCCAUACCACAUUAGGCACGCCCGAUCUCGUCUGAUCUCGGAAGCUAAGCAGGGUCGGGCCUGGUUAGUACUUGGAUGGGUGAUCGCCUGGGAAUACCAGGUGCUGUAAGCA